AAGUCGUAACAAGGUUUCCGUAGGUGAACCUGCGGAAGGAUCAUUAACACGUAUCCAACGUUAAACAACCCUGUGAACUUUCAGCGCUCUUGUAGCCCCGGAGGAACAGCAAUCCCGGUAAAUCAAAUGGCGGAAAGAGUUUUGAUUCGGGACCUCUGUCCAAAAGGUAUCAAGUUACAAUCGAGCAGAGCGGUUGCCAGAGGUCGAUCACCGGCCGGCAGACAUGUCACAGGGCUUUACGCCCCUUCAUUCACCCCUUGCCUAAUCAAGCCUCGCGGAAACGCCGGGCAUAAAAACCGAACAACUGUUAACAAUGGAUAUCUUGGUUCUC
This 331-nucleotide unclassified non-coding RNA is filed under the name fungal sp. RNAcentral describes it as "partial internal transcribed spacer region". The stretch from base 1 to 46 matches the Rfam family "Eukaryotic small subunit ribosomal RNA", at positions 1786 to 1831 of the family's 1831-position model. Lineage: Eukaryota; Fungi. The record is from RNAcentral.